This 528-nucleotide ribosomal RNA is filed under the name uncultured bacterium. RNAcentral describes it as "bacterial SSU rRNA". It matches the Rfam family "Bacterial small subunit ribosomal RNA", at positions 370 to 891 of the family's 1533-position model. The record is from RNAcentral.
AAUGGGCGCAAGCCUGAUCCAGCAAUGCCGCGUGCAGGAUGAAGGCCUUCGGGUUGUAAACUGCUUUUGUACGGAACGAAAAGACUCUGGUUAAUACCUGGGGUCCAUGACGGUACCGUAAGAAUAAGCACCGGCUAACUACGUGCCAGCAGCCGCGGUAAUACGUAGGGUGCGAGCGUUAAUCGGAAUUACUGGGCGUAAAGCGUGCGCAGGCGGUUAUGUAAGACAGAUGUGAAAUCCCCGGGCUCAACCUGGGAACUGCCUUUGUGACUGCAAGGCUAGAGUACGGCAGAGGGGGAUGGAAUUCCGCGUGUAGCAGUGAAAUGCGUAGAUAUGCGGAGGAACACCGAUGGCGAAGGCAAUCCCCUGGGCCUGUACUGACGCUCAUGCACGAAAGCGUGGGGAGCAAACAGGAUUAGAUACCCUGGUAGUCCACGCCCUAAACGAUGUCAACUGGUUGUUGGGUCUUCACUGACUCAGUAACGAAGCUAACGCGUGAAGUUGACCGCCUGGGGAGUACGGCCGCAA